Drosophila montana is the source of this 615-nucleotide long non-coding RNA. RefSeq lists it as uncharacterized. The transcript has 2 exons. The record is from RefSeq and is a predicted model, not a curated record. NCBI's taxonomy places the organism in Eukaryota, Metazoa, Arthropoda, Insecta, Diptera, Drosophilidae.
CCAGGUACACGGCAAGAAAUAAAGUUGCUUUCGACAUUUCAUUCAGUUUCGAUCAAAUUGAAAAAAAAUUGGUAUUAUAAUUUCCUGCUCUUCGUUCUUUCUUUUUGGAUUGAGAUUAACGACAAAAUUGAUUUUAAGUACGUUCCUCUUUUUCGCUCGCUAAUUAACAUUUAGUCAAAAACCAACUAGCACUUCAUCUUCAUCUCAUGCAAUUUUGAUUUCUUAUGAAAAAUGGAUUGAUAAAAAUGGAAUGAUUUUCACACUUAUCGUAACUAUUUCCGGGUGGAGUUUCGCACACGAAGCCCCUUCGCUGGCGGCCACUGAGGCUGGCACGUUGUCAGUCUACGUGAGUUGUGGGCAGUAGAGAUGGCAAAGUCUCAGCAUACGAUGUACGGAUCUCUACUAUCAGUUGGCAUUCGAUUGAAUCAAAAGUCGAGGGACAAUAUCGAAGAUUUUGAAAAUAAACGGUUCGGGAAUGAUGCCAACCUUUUUUGAUGAUUUUUUUGGUUGCUCUCAGCCAAAUAUUGUCCGAAAAAUGAAAAUGAAAGAUAUAUGAUUUGUUUAGACUCUUCUAGAAGCUACAUAGAAGCUCAAUAAACGGGAUUUCGAUAUCGA